UCGCCUGUUUAUCAAAAACAUGUCCUCUUGAUAAUGAUUGGAGGUCUGACCUGCCCACUGAAUAAAGAUUUGAAGGGCCGCGGUAUUUUGACCGUGCAAAGGUAGCAUAAUCACUAGUCUUUUAAUUGAAGGCUGGAAUGAAUGGUUGGACGAGGUAUUGACUGUCUCAUAUAUAAAUGAGUUUAGAAUUUAACUUUUGAGUGAAAAGGCUUAAAUAAUUUUAAAGGACGAGAAGACCCUAUAGAUCUUUAUAUUAGUGAAUCUAGUAAUAAUUUAGUUGAUUAUUAUUAUUAAAUUUUUUAAUAUUUUAUUGGGGUGAUAGGAAGAUAAAACAAACUCUUUUUAAUUUGUUCACAAUGAUUUUUGAAUUUUUGAUCCGUUAUUUGCGACUAUAAGACUAAGUUACCUUAGGGAUAACAGCGUAAUCUUUUUUGAGAGUUCUUAUCGACAAAAAGGGUUGCGACCUCGAUGUUGGAUUAAGGUGAAAUUUGGGUGCAGAAGUUCAAAUUUUUAGGUCUGUUCGACCUUUAAAUCCUUACAUGAUCUGAGUUCAAACCGGAGA
Molecule: ribosomal RNA, 562 nt
Filed under: Agnetina capitata
Lineage: Eukaryota; Metazoa; Arthropoda; Insecta; Plecoptera; Perlidae
Description: partial 16S ribosomal RNA
Rfam family: Bacterial large subunit ribosomal RNA
Source: RNAcentral